GUUAGGAAUAUUGCGCAAUGGAGGCAACUCUGACGCAGCCAUGCCGCGUGCAGGAAGAAGGCGCUACGCGUUGUAAACUGCUUUUAACCGGGAAGAAACCCCAGGACGUGUCCUGGGUUGACGGUACCGGAGGAAUAAGCACCGGCUAACUUCGUGCCAGCAGCCGCGGUACUACGAAGGGUGCAAGCGUUAUCCGGAUUCCUUGGGUUUAAAGGGUGCGUAGGCGGAGCGUUAAGUGAGUGGUGAAAUCCUGCAGCGUAACUGUAGACUGGCCAUUGAUACUGGCGCUCUUGAGUGCGCUUGAAGUGGGCGGAAUGUGCCGUGUAGCGGUGAAAUGCUUAGAUAUGGCACAGAACACCAAUUGCGAAGGCAGCUCACUAAGGCGAUACUGACGCUGAGGCACGAAAGCGUGGGGAUCGAACAGGAUUAGAAACCCGGGUAGUCC
RNAcentral lists this ribosomal RNA (445 nucleotides) under uncultured bacterium. RNAcentral's name for it is "partial 16S ribosomal RNA". It matches the Rfam family "Bacterial small subunit ribosomal RNA", at positions 354 to 796 of the family's 1533-position model. The record is from RNAcentral.